RNAcentral lists this ribosomal RNA (1461 nucleotides) under uncultured bacterium. Its description in RNAcentral is "bacterial SSU rRNA". It matches the Rfam family "Bacterial small subunit ribosomal RNA". The record is from RNAcentral.
GGGUAACCGGGGACCUCUAGAGAUAGAGUUUGAUCCUGGCUCAGGAUGAACGCUGGCGGUGCGCUUAACACAUGCAAGUCGAGUGAAUUAGAUUCACGGCAGACGGGUGGAACACGUUGGAACCUUCCUUCAACUCAGGGAUAACUCCGAGAAAUCGGAGAUAAUACCGGAUAGUCCCGAAAGGGUAAAGAUUUAUCGGUUGAAGAGGGGCCUGCGGCCUAUCAGCUAGUUGGUGAGGUAAUGGCUUGCCAAGGCAAUGACGGGUAACUGGUCUGAGAGGACGACCAGUCACAAUGGAACUGAGACAAGGUCCAUACUCCUACGGGAGGCAGCAGUGAGGAAUCUUCCGCAAUGGGCGAAAGCCUGACGGAGCGACACCGCGUGAAGGAUGAAGGCCUUCGGGUUGUAAACUUCUUUUUUGAGGGAAUAAAUGAUGAAGGUACCUCAAGAAUAAGCACCGACUAACUAUGUGCCAGCAGUCGCGGUAAUACAUAGGGUGCAAGCGUUAUCCGGAAUUAUUGGGCGUAAAGCGUUAGUAGGCGGUUUUCUAAGUUUGCGGUUAAAUCUGAGCGCUCAACGUUCAACUUGCCGCAAAAACUGGAAGACUAGAGAAUGGCAGAGGUAUCUGGAAUUCUACAUGUAGGGGUAAAAUCCGUAGAUAUGUAGAGGAACACCAAAAGCGAAGGCAGGAUACUGGGCCAUUUCUGACGCUGAGUAACGAAAGCGUGGGUAGCAAACAGGAUUAGAUACCCUGGUAGUCCACGCUGUAAACUAUGGAUGCUCGGUGUAGGAGGGAUUCGACCCCCUUCUGUGCCUUAGUUAACACGUUAAGCAUCCCGCCUGGGGAGUACGGUCGCAAGACUAAAACUCAAAGGAAUAGACGGGGACCCACACAAGCGGUGGAACAUGUGGUUUAAUUCGAUGGUAAACGAGGAACCUUACCCAGACUUGACAUCUCCAGAAUUCUCUAGAAAUAGAGAAGUGCCGUAAGGAACUGGAUGACAGGUGCUGCAUGGUCGUCGUCAGCUCGUGCCUUGAGGUGUUCGGUUAAGUCCGUAAACGAGCGCAACCCAUAUCCUAUGUUGAAUUUUCAUAGGAGACUGCCGGCUUUAAGUCGGAGGAAGGUGUGGAUGACGUCAGAUCAGCAUGGCCCUUAUGUCUGGGGCCACACACAUGUUACAAUGGCGGAUACAAUGGGCAGCGAACCCGUAAGGGGGAGCCAAUCCCAUCAAAGUCCGUCUCAGUUCGAAUAGAGGGCUGCAACUCGACCUCUUGAAGUUGGAAUCGCUAGUAACCGCAUAUCAGCCAUGGUGCGGUGAAUAUGUUCCUGGGUCUUGUACUCACCGCCCGUCAAUUCAUGAAAGAUAGGGGUGCCCGAAGUCACUUCAGCUCUACGGAGCCAGUGCCUAAGGUAACACUAUUGAUUGGGAAUAAGUCGUAACAAGGUAACCAAUCUUCGAC